AAACAUCGCCUCCUGCUACAUUAAUAUAUAUAGGAGGUCUUGCCUGCCCAGUGAAUAAUUAAACGGCCGCGGUAUUUUGACCGUGCGAAGGUAGCGCAAUCACUUGUCUUUUAAAUAAAGACCUGUAUGAAUGGUGAAACGAGGGCUUAACUGUCUCCCCCCUCAUGUCAAUGAAAUUGAUCUGCCCGUGCAGAAGCGGACAUACAAAUACAAGACGAGAAGACCCUUUGGAGCUUAAGAUAAAAAAUCACCUAUGUUAAAAUUUAACCAAACUAAACUUAAACCAAAUAGCACUUGAUUUAAAUCUUCGGUUGGGGCGACCACGGGAGAAAGCAAAGCUCCCACGAGGACUGGGGCUAAAACCCUAUAACCAAGAAAAACACUUCUAAGUACCAAAACAUUUGACCAUUAUGAUCCAGCCAAAUGCUGAUCAACGAACCAAGUUACCCAAGGGAUAACAGCGCAAUCCCCUUUAAGAGUCCAUAUCGACAAGGGGGUUUACGACCUCGAUGUUGGAUCAGGACAUCCUAAUGGUGCAGCCGCUAUUAAGGGUUCGUUUGUUCAACGAUUAAAGUCCUACGUGAU
RNAcentral lists this ribosomal RNA (585 nucleotides) under Bunocephalus aleuropsis. RNAcentral's name for it is "partial 16S ribosomal RNA". It matches the Rfam family "Bacterial large subunit ribosomal RNA", at positions 1811 to 2604 of the family's 2925-position model. Lineage: Eukaryota; Metazoa; Chordata; Actinopteri; Siluriformes; Aspredinidae. The record is from RNAcentral.